GUCCACACCGUAAACGAUGUUCACUAGUUGGUGGGUAGUUUACUAUUCGCUGACGCAGCUAACGCAUUAAGUGAACCGCCUGGGGAGUACGGUCGCAAGAUUAAAACUCAAAGGAAUUGACGGGGACCCGCACAAGCGGUGGAGCAUGUGGUUUAAUUCGAAGCAACGCGAAGAACCUUACCAGCCCUUGACAUCCCGGUCGCGGGGCCCAGAGAUGGGCUCCUUCAGUUCGGCUGGACCGGUGACAGGUGCUGCAUGGCUGUCGU
Molecule: ribosomal RNA, 266 nt
Filed under: uncultured bacterium
Lineage: Bacteria
Description: partial 16S ribosomal RNA
Rfam family: Bacterial small subunit ribosomal RNA
Source: RNAcentral